AUUCCUACGGGACGCCGCAGUGGGGCUUAUUGCAGUUUUGGGGGAACUCUGAUGCAGCGACGCCGCGUGGGUGAAGGAGUACUUCGGUACGUAAAGCCCUAUCAGCAGGAAAGAAAAUGACGGUACCUGACUAAGAAUCCCCGGCUAACUACGUGCCAGCAGCCGCGGUAAUACGUAGGGAGCAAGCGUUAUCCGGAAUUAUUGGGUGUAAAGGGUGCGUAGACGGGACAGCAAGUUAGUUGUGAAAGCCCUCGGCUUACCUGAGGAACUGCAACUAAAACUAUUGUUCUUGAGUGCGGGAGAGG
RNAcentral lists this ribosomal RNA (305 nucleotides) under uncultured bacterium. Its description in RNAcentral is "bacterial SSU rRNA". It matches the Rfam family "Bacterial small subunit ribosomal RNA", at positions 335 to 657 of the family's 1533-position model. The record is from RNAcentral.